AUCCGCUACUCUUGAUUCUCUCUCAACUGAUCCGGUUUCCCUCUGCGCGCGCCCACCGCCCUGGCCCUCGCUCACUGUGGCCCGAACCCUCGCCUUCCAGAGGGAAGGCCCGGUUCAUCCCUGGGAAGGUACAGGAGGCUCGAGACCUUCUAAAGCAGCUGCCGCGCAGGAGCAGGCCCUAGAACAGACGGAAGGCGGACCCGGCGCCGCGGAACGGAGGAUAGCGUCGGCUUCCUGCCGUUGGGCCUAGCCACCCGCCAGCGACGCCCGCCGGAGGGAGGGAUUGAGGGAGGGAGGGAGUCCAGAGGCCGGGGGAACGUGCGAGCAGAGGCGCGGCCACCGCAUCCGUGGCCAGGAUCUCGUGGCCCGCCGAGACGGUCGAAUUGUGGAGGCAGCCCGCAGCGGCGUGGCCUUCAGAGUCUCUGCAUUUGGUGAAGAACUUAAGUUUUCAAUAAAAAUAAAACUGCUGGAGCGGUGGCUCACACCUGUAAUCUCAGCACUUUGAGAGGCCGAGGUGGGCAGAUCACAUAAGGUCAGGAGUUCGAAACCAGCGUGGCCAACAUGGUGAAAACCUAUGUCUUCUAAAAAUACAAAAAAAAAAAAAAUUAGCUGGGCGUAGUAUCGCAUGCCUGCAGUUCCAGCUACUCGGGAGGCUGAAGCAUGAAAAUCACUAAAACCUGGGAGGCGGAGGUUGCAGUGAGCCGAAAUCAUGUCACUGCACUUAAGCCUGACUUUGUCAAAAAAAAAAAAAAAGAAAGAAAAAUAAACCUAACAUAAAUUUGUAAGUGCUUUUCUUUUUAUCUAAGUGUGAAAAUGUACUGGCCCUAAAAGAAAUUGUUAUAGAUAGUCAAUAUGGGAAUUUAUUAUAUUUACUUUAGUGUUAUACUUUUUAUGCACUCAAGUUCUUCCUGUACACUUACUUGACAGAAUAGGAAAUGCAAGAAUUGUGGAUGCUCAGAAAA
Molecule: long non-coding RNA, 962 nt
Filed under: Homo sapiens (human)
Lineage: Eukaryota; Metazoa; Chordata; Mammalia; Primates; Hominidae
Description: non-protein coding lnc-MRE11-3:3
Source: RNAcentral